Onychostoma macrolepis is the source of this 2659-nucleotide long non-coding RNA. RefSeq lists it as uncharacterized. NCBI's taxonomy places the organism in Eukaryota, Metazoa, Chordata, Actinopteri, Cypriniformes, Cyprinidae. The record is from RefSeq and is a predicted model, not a curated record. The transcript is spliced from 2 exons.
ACUUAUGUAGUUUACAGAUGUGAAAAAAUGGAAUUUUGUAAUUGUUACCAGAAGUAUAAAAUAUACAAAACAAUCAAAAGCAUUGCAUAGAUUUGACAUAAGUAUAAUAACUAAACAUGAUCAAAACUUCCUCAUAUCUGUCAUUCCCUUUUAACAAGGCUAUCUUUUCUUAUCUUACAUUAUAAUAUGGCUUAAAGUUUUGUACUGUAUCUGAUUUGUUACAUGAUAAAUUAUAUAAUUGAGAACAUCUGAAAUCCCUCACAAGUAAAGUUUAACUUUCACUUUUGUUUCUGCGGAAAGGUUUCCUCUAAUGUGUCUGCAGCAGACUGGCUGCUGUGAGGAGGUGUGAGCAGUUUCUGAAGGAAGAGUAUAAAUAACGGAUGAAGAUCCACUUCACAUAAACUGCACUACGCUGUUCUGAACCUUAAACAAAUCAUCAGCAUGAUCUUAUCCGAGGGGAGUGAUGAAGGGGAUGACGACGACGAUGAUGAAGAAGAUGAUGGAGGUGCUGGAGUAAGUGUCUGCUGCCAAGGGUAAACAACUGCUCCAGACCUUGAUGCAGCCAGUGUUGAGAAAGACCCAAUAGCACGCUGGAUCAAACGAACUGUGUGCAAUUGCUGAUACAAGCCAGCAGCAGCCAAAGCAAUCACACAGCUUCAGUUGUGACAAAUGUCACAACCCAAGUAUCUCCCACGCCAUGAGUGUCCAUGGCAAACUUGACACGUAGACCUUGACUCCUCCAUGGAGAACGAUGGAUCUCGCAACUUUCCCGCUGUGCAGUGGCAGCACCAUCGCUUUUCUUCAGAACGGCUCUGCUUUCCUGUCUGUUUGUGCAACCCUGAAGAAACCGUGGAGAGAAGAACGAAAUGUUCAUGGAGAGGUGAUCCCUGAUGAGAGCUGCUGGUCCAGAGGCUGGAAGAUGUGAGGCAGUUUUUUCUGUGAUCACAAUCGUCCUCAAUCACCAUUGUGCCAUCGAGCAACGCACAUGACUCCAACGCAGGACUGACUGUUUCUGCAAAAGGUCUACAGUAGUCAACUAUCCAUUAAAAUACAAACAGAGAAUGGGCUGGAUGGGCAUUUUGUAGAUGUACUAAUGGAUGCAUGUUGCUCACAUAUUUUGGGAGGUCAUGCCCUUUUGAAGCCCAAGUGUAUUUGUUGUAAAGAUAUAUUCAGACUAUGGCUGCUUGGUCCAAAUAGCUCUUCAGUAAAACUAGCAGAAGGUUUCUGGAGCAGCGGAUCAGGGUUAGAGGUAAAAGCCCACUGUUUUUUUUAUUUUUAUUUAUUUGUUUUUUUUGAUGUUCUUUUACCUCAUUUUGAUGCCACGUCAACGGCGCUCAGCCAUAGAGAGCGUGAUCAGAGCGAGAUGACAUGUUCACCAGAAUAGGGUUCACAGGCACAGGUUCUGCAGGUUGUGCUGACUUGGUUGAAUCCACUGGUUCAGUUAUCUUACUAACAAUACACAAUAUGACACACUGCUGAAUUUCACGCACAGGUGUUAUCGCAGUGCUGUUGAACAAAAGUUACACAACAUAGGUAACGAACCUGUAAUGAGACAUGAUCUCAUACAGAACAAGGUCCUUGUCAAAGGACUAAGAUCUAGCCAGAAAUGAAGCCCAAUAGAUGCGACACAACAUCAAAGGACAUCAUAUCCUAUUGAGCUCUCGUAGUUUUCUUGGUUAUGUGGCGAGGGGAUUGUUAGCGAGUGAUCUGUUUAGUUUUACAAUGAUGUUCUUAGAAAUGUCAUGAAUGCAGAUGGAUUUCUGUGCUUCGUCUGCCUAAAUGUAUUGCUUUCUAAUGAGCUACACGAUAAACUCCCCAAUUAUAUGUUGUGAAAUAAACAAAACAAACAAAAAACUAAACAAAACAAAACAAAACAAACAAAAAAACCUUUGUGUAUGUGUGUGUGUUUAUGUGAUGGAGCCAAACUCUACUUUAAUAUUUUAAAGGUAGGUUUUGGACAUGCAUUUUUAAAACUCUGGGAUAAAUUAGAGCAUUCUGGGGAAUUACGGUUCAUAAAAUAUAAGAUUAUUUCGAUGAUAUUUAGUAUUAUUUACAUACUAUUAUAUCAUCUAUCAAUAUACUGAAUUAGCUUUUAUUUUUAUAUUUUCAGUUUUCAUUAUAAUUUUAGUUGAGGUUUUAGUGAUGAUUUCUAUGGCUUUAAUUUUAUUUCAGUUUUAGUUAACAAUAACAACACUGAUUAAUUCAUAAACGUAAUGAAAAAUACUGUAUAUAAAUUAUAUUGCAAUUAAUAAAUUGUAGUAAAUAAUUCUAUAAAUUAAACAGAAGUUCUAUGACUGACAUUUUAUUUCAUUGAUUGUAUGAAAUGUAUUACCAGUUAUAUGAAUUUCUUUGCAUUUUAUUUCAUCUCAGUUCCUCAUAAAUUCAAUUAAAAGGCUCUCUCAAUUCAAUUGUUAAUGUCACAACCCUGACUUAUUUAAGACCAUUUAAGAUUUUUUUUAUAAUUUCAUUCAAUUAUUUAAAAUGUGCCUGAGAAACAGUUGUUUAUGCGUAUAUUGUAUGUACAGACUGCUGGACUCAGAAUAUGUUAUAUAAUGAAUCAUGAAUGUCUAUCCACUAAUGUGUAUGAGACAUCAGAAAAAAGUAUACUAGUUAAUGUAGUGAACUUAUGUUAACAAAUAAAAACCUUAUUGUAAUGUUA